CCUACGGGGGACAGCAGUGAGGAAUAUUGGUCAAUGGGCGCUAGCCUGAACCAGCCAAGUAGCGUGAAGGAUGACUGCCCUAUGGGUUGUAAACUUCUUUUAUAGGGGAAUAAAGUGCAGUAUGUAUACUGCUUUGCAUGUACCUUAUGAAUAAGGAUCGGCUAACUCCGUGCCAGCAGCCGCGGUAAUACGGAGGUACCGAGCGUUAUCCGGAUUUAUUGGGUUUAAAGGGAGCGUAGGCGGGUUGUUAAGUCAGGUGUGAAAGUUUGCGGCUCAACCGUAAAAUUGCCGUUGAUACUGGCAGCCUUGAGUACAGUAGCGGUAGGCGGCAUUCGUUGUGUAGCGGU
RNAcentral lists this ribosomal RNA (347 nucleotides) under uncultured bacterium. RNAcentral's name for it is "partial 16S ribosomal RNA". It matches the Rfam family "Bacterial small subunit ribosomal RNA", at positions 338 to 682 of the family's 1533-position model. The record is from RNAcentral.